Molecule: long non-coding RNA, 283 nt
Filed under: Anas platyrhynchos platyrhynchos (common mallard)
Lineage: Eukaryota; Metazoa; Chordata; Aves; Anseriformes; Anatidae
Description: lncRNA (ENSAPLG00000028700.1)
Source: RNAcentral
CAGAAGCAGGGAGGAACCUUCCUGAAGCAUUGAGUCAGGUACUUUGGCUCUAGCCAAGGUUAAGAAACUGCAGCUUUAGCAGGUUUUCUUCCUUCUGGGUGUUCUCUUAAACCAGCAAACCUGGUGGCAAAAACUGCACACUGAUGGUAAUAUAGGGAUAUCUUUCUGAAUAAAAUGACUGGCUGUGUUUUAAUCAAGCAGAAAUUAAGAGUUCAGAGGAGACAUUUAAGGGCAAAGUCCAUGUGAAAAGCUGAGUGUAACAGACCAGGACACCACUUCAAUG